UACAGAGGUCUCAAGCGUUGUUCGGAUUCAUUGGGCGUAAAGGGCGCGUAGGCUGCGGGGCAAGUCGGGUGUGAAAUCUCAGAGCUCAACUCUGAAACUGCAUUCGAUACUGCGGUGCUUGAGGACUGGAGAGGAGACUGGAAUUCAUGGUGUAGCAGUGAAAUGCGUAGAGAUCAUGAGGAAGACCAGUGGCGAAGGCGGGUCUCUGGACAGUUCCUGACACUGAGACACGAAGGCCAGGGGAGCAAACGGG
Molecule: ribosomal RNA, 253 nt
Filed under: uncultured bacterium
Lineage: Bacteria
Description: partial 16S ribosomal RNA
Rfam family: Bacterial small subunit ribosomal RNA
Source: RNAcentral